GGCUGAAGUUGCAGUGAGCCGAGAUCGUGCCACUGCACUCCAGCCUGGGCGACAGAGUGAGACCCCGUCUCAAAAAAAAAAAAAAAAAAAAAAAGAAUAGCUGUGCUCUUUGUGAGUUUUGCUAGAGCCUCCAGAUAAGCUUUCAAGGUCUUUUUGCAAGAAAAUGUAGGAACUCAUGUUGGAUCUCGCAGAACUCCAGGCAGAUCCAAACGAGGUGCUACAUGUGACAGUCUGCCUUCCUUA
This 243-nucleotide small RNA is filed under the name Pan troglodytes (chimpanzee). RNAcentral describes it as "7SK RNA (ENSPTRG00000037186.2)". Lineage: Eukaryota; Metazoa; Chordata; Mammalia; Primates; Hominidae. The record is from RNAcentral.